RNAcentral lists this ribosomal RNA (253 nucleotides) under uncultured prokaryote. RNAcentral's name for it is "partial 16S ribosomal RNA". It matches the Rfam family "Bacterial small subunit ribosomal RNA", at positions 524 to 776 of the family's 1533-position model. The record is from RNAcentral.
UACGGAGGGGGCCAGCGUUGUUCGGAAUUAUUGGGCGUAAAGGGCGCGUAGGCGGUCGAGUAAGUCUGACGUGAAAUCCCUUGGCUCAACCAAGGAACUGCGUCUUAAACUGCUCGGCUUGAGUCCGGGAGAGGGUAGUGGAAUUCCCAGUGUAGCGGUGAAAUGCGUAGAUAUUGGGAGGAACACCGGUGGCGAAGGCGGCUACCUGGACCGGUACUGACGCUGAUGCGCGAAAGCUAGGGUAGCAAACAGG